Molecule: unclassified non-coding RNA, 1270 nt
Filed under: Leguminivora glycinivorella
Lineage: Eukaryota; Metazoa; Arthropoda; Insecta; Lepidoptera; Tortricidae
Description: serine/arginine-rich splicing factor 2, transcript variant X1
Source: RNAcentral
GCCGACCGACGCCAUCUUUCUGUCAAUGGAGUCAUAGUCGUGUGCUUGCAGGGCGCCAUUUUAUUAAAGUAAUAAUUGCGGUUAUCUGCAGUGAAAGCUAUUUUGUUUUUCAUAAGUGAACGUUAAAUAAGACCAAAAUGAGUUACGGAAGACCUCCGCCGCGUAUUGACGGCAUGGUGUCGUUGAAAGUGGACAAUCUCACAUACCGUACUACACCUGAGGAUUUGCGCCGCGUUUUCGAAAGGUGUGGAGAAGUAGGCGAUAUUUAUAUUCCCCGUGAUCGUUACACAAGGGAAAGCAGAGGAUUCGCCUUUGUCAGGUUUUACGACCGACGCGAUGCAGAAGAGGCGCUGGACUCGCUCGAUGGGCGCAUGUUGGACGGGAGGGAGCUUCGAGUGCAGAUGGCCCGCUACGGCAGGCCUUCGUCACCCUACAGAAGCCGGUACGACCGCAGACGCAGUGGUUCUCGCUCUGGGUCGCGCUCACGCCGCCGCUCGCGCUCUCGCUCCCGUUCCCGCAAGCGCUCGUACACGCGCAGCCGUUCUCGCUCGCGUAGCCGCAGCCGCUCGGACUCCAAGAGCUCGCGCGGCCGUUCCCGCAGCCGCUCCCAUUCCAGGUCGCGCUCCAGGCAUUGAAGUGCUGAGUUGAGAGUACCGGUUUAGAGCUGAAGCUGUGCCAGCUAUCUCGUGCACUCUUCGGCCAAGGCGUCGGGCGGAGCGGGGGCGCGGACGCGGGGUGCGGUGGGGCGCGGGGGGUUGCGGAGCGGACAACUGCUGUUUUGCUGUUGUUGCUGUUCAUAAAGUUAUGAGUAAACUUUUAUAUUAUUGACCAACCAGACUUGUCUAACGUAGGUACUCGAAACCCUAUCAUUAUUAGUAAUUUUGUAAACGGCACCCUUUAUCCCGAUAAAUUUAAAAACAUACUUUAUUAAUAAGAAACUAGUGAUGACAGAUGCUGCUGGUGUUCGCGGACUAACGUUUGCGUUUGUUUGGCAGGCCGCGAGCAGGUGCCGCUGGCCUGCUGACGUGGCAGUUUCCCGCUGAUUGCUGUGUUUGCAGACUUUCCAGAUGCGUCUAGGUUUCAUAUACAGGACUACGCCCCCCGCCGAUGCGAGUUAGCUUUGUACACCCGAUAUUUUUCUUUCGAGAUUUUAUUUAGAGUUAGAUUCAAGAUUUUUUUGAAGUUGCAAGAGAGAAGACAUCGACAGGACACCUGGGAUUUGGAUACUGUAUGUAGGUUAAAAUGUCGUAAAUAAAUAGAGUUAACACGA